ACAUCCAGAGAACUUAGCAGAGAUGCUUUGGUGCCUUCGGGAACUCUGAGACAGGUGCUGCAUGGCUGUCGUCAGCUCGUGUUGUGAAAUGUUGGGUUAAGUCCCGCAACGAGCGCAACCCUUAUCCUUUGUUGCCAGCGGCUCGGCCGGGAACUCAAAGGAGACUGCCGGUGAUAAACCGGAGGAAGGUGGGGAUGACGUCAAGUCAUCAUGGCCCUUACGGCCAGGGCUACACACGUGCUACAAUGGCGCAUACAAGGAGAAGCGACCUCGCGAGAGCAAGCGGACCUCAUAAAGUGCGUCGUAGUCCGGAUUGGAGUCUGCAACUCGACUCCAUGAAGUCGGAAUCGCUAGUAAUCGUAGAUCAGAAUGCUACGGUGAAUACGUUCCCGGGCCUUGUACACACCGCCCGUCACACCAUGGGAGUGGGUUGCAAAAGAAGUAGGUAGCUUAACCUUCGGGAGGGCGCUUACCACUUUGUGAUUCAUGACUGGGGUGAAGUCGUAACAAGGUAAGCGUAGACGU
This 525-nucleotide ribosomal RNA is filed under the name uncultured bacterium. RNAcentral's name for it is "bacterial SSU rRNA". It matches the Rfam family "Bacterial small subunit ribosomal RNA", at positions 984 to 1509 of the family's 1533-position model. The record is from RNAcentral.